RNAcentral lists this ribosomal RNA (253 nucleotides) under uncultured bacterium. Its description in RNAcentral is "partial 16S ribosomal RNA". It matches the Rfam family "Bacterial small subunit ribosomal RNA", at positions 524 to 776 of the family's 1533-position model. The record is from RNAcentral.
UACAGAGGUCUCAAGCGUUGUUCGGAUUCAUUGGGCGUAAAGGGUGUGUAGGUGGCGCGCUAAGUCGGGUGUGAAAUUUCGGAGCUUAACUCCGAAACUGCAUUCGAUACUGGCGUGCUUGAGGACUGGAGAGGAGACUGGAAUUCAUGGUGUAGCAGUGAAAUGCGUAGAGAUCAUGAGGAAGACCAGUGGCGAAGGCGGCUCUCUGGAACGCAACUGACGCUGAGACGCGAAAGCGUGGGGAGCAAACAGG